Molecule: transfer-messenger RNA, 351 nt
Filed under: Acutalibacteraceae
Lineage: Bacteria; Bacillati; Bacillota; Clostridia; Eubacteriales
Also listed under: 1 other name
Description: RGIG4076 sp905198155 Standard tmRNA
Rfam family: transfer-messenger RNA
About the family: Bacterial tmRNA, also known as 10Sa RNA or SsrA, is named for its dual tRNA and mRNA-like properties. Its role is to liberate the mRNA from a stalled ribosome.
Source: RNAcentral
GGGGAUGUAAAGGUUUCGACGGGGACUGUGAAUCUCAGUAAGCGGGUCGUGGUGCAGCACCACGCGAAAAGCUGCAAACUUUUCAAAAUAAACGACAACAAUACUGUUGCUGUUGCGGCCUAAUUAAGGCUGCCGUCUUUGCAGGGAGCACCGCGGCCCUGACAAAGGCGUCGAUUAGCGGUGAACAUGAACGCAGGCGCGUUCCUGCCUGCGUCACGACUUGGGAACUACCGAAGCGUAUCGCCUGAUCGCCGGAGAUACGACGGGGGAAUCCGCAAAGACGGUCUGCACCCGGAGAAAGCUGUGACAAGUGGUUUUCGGACAGGAGUUCGAUUCUCCUCAUCUCCACCA